This 460-nucleotide ribosomal RNA is filed under the name uncultured bacterium. RNAcentral describes it as "partial 16S ribosomal RNA". It matches the Rfam family "Bacterial small subunit ribosomal RNA", at positions 338 to 795 of the family's 1533-position model. The record is from RNAcentral.
CCUACGGGUGGCUGCAGUGAGGAAUAUUGGUCAAUGGGCUUACGCCUGAACCAGCCAAGUCGCGUGAGGGAAGACUGCCCUAUGGGUUGUAAACCUCUUUUGUCAGGGAGCAAUUGGCGCUACGUGUAGCGUUCUCGAGAGUACCUGAAGAAAAAGCAUCGGCUAACUCCGUGCCAGCAGCCGCGGUAAUACGGAGGAUGCGAGCGUUAUCCGGAUUUAUUGGGUUUAAAGGGUGCGUAGGCGGAAUGCCAAGUCAGCGGUAAAAUCGCGGGGCUCAACCUCGCUCCGCCGUUGAAACUGGUGUUCUUGAGUGGGCGAGAAGUAUGCGGAAUGCGUGGUGUAGCGGUGAAAUGCAUAGAUAUCACGCAGAACUCCGAUUGCGAAGGCAGCAUACCGGCGCCCAACUGACGCUGAAGCACGAAAGCGUGGGUAUCGAACAGGAUUAGAUACCCGAGUAGUC